Molecule: transfer RNA, 74 nt
Filed under: Serratia symbiotica
Lineage: Bacteria; Pseudomonadati; Pseudomonadota; Gammaproteobacteria; Enterobacterales; Yersiniaceae
Description: transfer RNA Arginine
Rfam family: tRNA
About the family: Transfer RNA (tRNA) molecules are approximately 80 nucleotides in length. Their secondary structure includes four short double-helical elements and three loops (D, anti-codon, and T loops).
Source: RNAcentral
ACGCCCUUAGCUCAGAUGGAUAGAGCAACAACCUUCUAAGUUGUAGGUCAUAGGUUCAAAUCCUAUAGGGCGUA